AAAAAAAAUGAUUAAGCUUUAGUAGAAUGCUAAAGGUAAAUCCCAAGCUAUGCAUACAGAGAUAAGAUCCCAUCUACCCAGUGUAUAUCAAAUGAAGCUCUAAUGGUAAUCCCAUCUCCAAUCCCAAUAUAAGAACUUAACUCUACCCUUUGCAUUCAUGAAUCUUUUAAGCCCUUUUUCUAAUCAUUCUUUUCUUUUCUCUUAACUCUAGGAGAAGCUUUCUCAACACUUUGUUACAUCUAGCGGAUUUGGAUUUCUUUCACAACUAAGGUUCCUGUUUUUAACAUUUUAAAGCCAAGGGCUUUUGCCCAUCUUCAAUAGCUAACAAGAACUCUUUCUUUUCUUUACAAAUCCCAAAACCUUUACUAGACUUUUUCUGCUUCUUUAGCUUACUUCACUUAGAGUCUUUUACCUUUUCUUAUCAAUGAAUCAACCCCCCUUU
This 442-nucleotide small RNA is filed under the name Arabidopsis thaliana (thale cress). Its description in RNAcentral is "ATSL272180". Lineage: Eukaryota; Viridiplantae; Streptophyta; Magnoliopsida; Brassicales; Brassicaceae. The record is from RNAcentral.